RNAcentral lists this ribosomal RNA (253 nucleotides) under uncultured bacterium. Its description in RNAcentral is "partial 16S ribosomal RNA". It matches the Rfam family "Bacterial small subunit ribosomal RNA", at positions 524 to 776 of the family's 1533-position model. The record is from RNAcentral.
UACGUAGGGUGCGAGCGUUAAUCGGAAUUACUGGGCGUAAAGCGUGCGCAGGCGGUUCGUUAAGUUCGAUGUGAAAGCCCCGGGCUCAACCUGGGGACUGCAUUGGAAACUGGCGAGCUUGAAUGCGGCAGAGGGGGGUGGAAUUCCGCGUGUAGCAGUGAAAUGCGUAGAGAUGCGGAGGAACACCGAUGGCGAAGGCAGCCCCCUGGGCCGACAUUGACGCUCAGGCACGAAAGCGUGGGGAGCAAACAGG